RNAcentral lists this ribosomal RNA (497 nucleotides) under uncultured bacterium. Its description in RNAcentral is "partial 16S ribosomal RNA". It matches the Rfam family "Bacterial small subunit ribosomal RNA", at positions 28 to 507 of the family's 1533-position model. The record is from RNAcentral.
GAUGAACGCUGGCGGCGUGCCUAAUACAUGCAAGUCGAGCGAACAGACGAGGAGCUUGCUCCUCUGACGUUAGCGGCGGACGGGUGAGUAACACGUGGAUAACCUACCUAUAAGACUGGGAUAACUUCGGGAAACCGGAGCUAAUACCGGAUAAUAUAUUGAACCGCAUGGUUCAAUAGUGAAAGACGGUUUUGCUGUCACUUAUAGAUGGAUCCGCGCCGCAUUAGCUAGUUGUUAAGGUAACGGCUUACCAAGGCGACGAUGCGUAGCCGACCUGAGAGGGGGAUCGGCCACACUGGAACUGAGACACGGUCCAGACUCCUACGGGAGGCAGCAGUAGGGAAUCGUCCGCAAUGGGCGAAAGCCUGACGGAGCAACGCCGCGUGAGUGAUGAAGGUCUUCGGAUCGUAAAACUCUGUUAUUAGGGAAGAACAAAUGUGUAAGUAACUAUGCACGGCUUGACGGUACCUAAUCAGAAAGCCACGGCUAACUACGUG